Molecule: transfer RNA, 87 nt
Filed under: compost metagenome
Description: tRNA-Tyr
Rfam family: tRNA
About the family: Transfer RNA (tRNA) molecules are approximately 80 nucleotides in length. Their secondary structure includes four short double-helical elements and three loops (D, anti-codon, and T loops).
Source: RNAcentral
GGAUAGAUAUCCCGUAGCAGGUAGCGGUUCUGACUGUAAAUCAGAUGUCUAACGACUCGGAUGGUUCGAGUCCAUCUCUAUCCACCA